UACGUAAGUGACAAGCGUUAUCCGGAAUUAUUGGGUGUAAAGGGCGUGUAGGUGGACAUAUAAGUCAGAUGUUAAAGAAUUGGGCUCAACCCAGGAGAAGCAUUUGAAACUGUAUGACUAGAGUAUGGGAGAGGAAAGCGGAAUUAUCAGUGUAGCGGUGGAAUGCGUAGAUAUUGAUAGGAACGCCAAAGGUGAAGACAGCUUUCUGGACCAAUACUGACACUAAGGCGCGAAAGCUAGGGGAGCAAACAGG
Molecule: ribosomal RNA, 253 nt
Filed under: uncultured bacterium
Lineage: Bacteria
Description: partial 16S ribosomal RNA
Rfam family: Bacterial small subunit ribosomal RNA
Source: RNAcentral